RNAcentral lists this ribosomal RNA (426 nucleotides) under uncultured bacterium. RNAcentral's name for it is "bacterial SSU rRNA". It matches the Rfam family "Bacterial small subunit ribosomal RNA", at positions 28 to 437 of the family's 1533-position model. The record is from RNAcentral.
GACGAACGCUGGCGGCGUGCUUAACACAUGCAAGUCGAACGGGGCGAAGUGAUAGCUUGCUAUUAUGGAGCCUAGUGGCAAACGGGUGAGUAACGCGUAGGCAACCUGCCCUUCAGAUGGGGACAACACCUCGAAAGGGGUGCUAAUACCGAAUGACGUUUCCUGGUCGCAUGACCUGGAAACCAAAGGCCGGGCAACCGGUCACUGAAGGAUGGGCCUGCGUCUGAUUAGCUAGUUGGUGGGUAACGGCCACCAAGGCGACGAUCAGUAGCCGGUCUGAGAGGAUGAACGGCCACAUUGGGACUGAGACACGGCCAAACUCCUACGGGAGGCAGCAGUGGGGAAUAUUGGGCAAUGGGGGAAACCCUGACCCAGCAACGCCGCGUUGGGAGGAAGAAAGGUUUUUCGGAUCGUAAAACUUCUGUC